AUUGAACGCUGGCGGCAUGCCUUACACAUGCAAGUCGAACGGUAACAGGUCUUCGGAUGCUGACGAGUGGCGAACGGGUGAGUAAUACAUCGGAACGUGCCCGAUCGUGGGGGAUAACGAGGCGAAAGCUUUGCUAAUACCGCAUACGAUCUACGGAUGAAAGCGGGGGAUCUUCGGACCUCGCGCGGACGGAGCGGCCGAUGGCAGAUUAGGUAGUUGGUGGGAUAAAAGCUUACCAAGCCGACGAUCUGUAGCUGGUCUGAGAGGAUGAUCAGCCACACUGGGACUGAGACACGGCCCAGACUCCUACGGGAGGCAGCAGUGGGGAAUUUUGGACAAUGGGCGAAAGCCUGAUCCAGCCAUGCCGCGUGCAAGAUGAAGGCCUUCGGGUUGCAAACUGCUUUUGUACGGAACGAAAAGCCUCUUUCUAAUAAAGAGGGGUCAUGACGGUACCGUAAGAAUAAGCACCGGCUAACUACGUG
RNAcentral lists this ribosomal RNA (482 nucleotides) under uncultured bacterium. RNAcentral's name for it is "partial 16S ribosomal RNA". It matches the Rfam family "Bacterial small subunit ribosomal RNA", at positions 30 to 507 of the family's 1533-position model. The record is from RNAcentral.